UCUCGCAGACGAGAACGGUGACGUCGUGACUUUCUGCUCCUACGACAACCCCACCUGCAGGAUACACUGCUCUGUUUGGGGUUCCGAUAUUUCCAGAAUAGAACUCAGGAAAAUUCACCCGAGUGGACGAGCCACACCCCUCGACUAUUGGAGCUACUCUGUACGACAGACACGGUUCAAGUUCUUCAAGAGAGUGGACGCCUACGUGCCGUCCUCCCGUGACGUGAGCCAGAGGUACCAGUGUGUGGCCUGGGGCAGUCUGGGUUAGUCCAUCACAAGGAACUACACGCUGGAACCUUUCCUCAAGGCCAGGAUUGUGGAGGGGGAGUCGUCGCUUGUCAGGCACGGGGACAGGAUGGCCAAUCUGACGUGCACAGUUACAGGUGACCCUAUCUCCAACAUAACCUUUAACCUGUCGUACAACUUCGAGUACCUCCAAAACCAGCUGCCAGACCAGGUGUACGACCACAACGGCACCACAGUGGCCGUGAAGCAGAUCGUCUACGACGACGGGGACGAGUACGGGUCGACCGCGGAGAGCACAGGAGUUCUAUACGACGCAGCUUGUUCUGUCACGCAGAACGUUCUCGGAACGGAAGAAUUUCCAAACACCGAAACGUAUUAUUACCCCUCGCCUUAACUUUUUAAACUCUUCACCACUGAACAAAACACUUGUCAUUAUAGCUAAGAAAUAUUGAAACAUACAAUUACCCUUCACUUUAGCUCUUUCACACUUUCACUGUUGAACAAAAUGUUUGUCUUAAAAAAUAAGUUAGCUCUUAAGUAUAAUUAUGAGAAAAAGGAUGAAGGGGAGAGGAGUUUACGUUGUACCUCGGUAUCUGGUUCUCAUUUUCCAAAGAGCAAAACUUUAUUAACAGAAUAUAGUUCGCUCUUCGGUCUUCCGUUUUCUUGGAAAGGAAGACUUUCCAAAGAUUGAAGCACACUAUUACCCUUCGCCUAAACUCUGUAACCUCUUCACUGCUGAAAAAAAAAAACCUUUGCCAUCGAACCUAGGAAUAUUGAAAAAUACGAUUACCCUUCGCCUUUACUUUUUAACCUCUUCACUUCACUAUUGACCAAGACAAAACACUUGCCAUCUAACCUGAGUAACGUUGACACACACUAUUACCCUUUGCCUUAAGUUUUUAAACCUCUUUAUUGUUGAGCGAAACGUGUCAUCCAACCAAAGGAAAGUUGAAACAUACCAAAUAUUAUUACCCUUUGCCUUAAGUUUUUAAACCUCUUUAUUGUUGAGCGAAACGUGUCAUCCAAUCAAAGGAAAGUUGAAACAUACCAAAUAUUAUUACCCUUUGCCUUAAGUUUUUAAACCUCUUUAUUGUUGAGCGAAACGCUUACGUGUGUCAUCCAACCAAAGGAAAGUUGAAACAUACCAAAUAUCAUUACCUUUCGCCUUAAGUUUUUAACCUCUUCAUUGUUGAACAAAACAUUUGUCACCAAACCUUAGUAAACUCUGCGGUGUUAAAGGAAAGAGGAGAAAGGGGAGAGGGCGAUACCUUGUACAUGGGUAUGCAAUUCACAAUAACCAAAGAGCAGAAGUCUGCUAAUAUUAGGAUUUAGUUGGCUCUCCCCAAUGUGUGUAUCGGGUGGUUUUACUAAGCGUUCACGGCACAGUGGUGGGAGGGGGAAGGACGUAGCGGGCACAAACCGUCGGCCAACCGUUCAAAAGUGCUAACUCAGUCAAAAAUU
RNAcentral lists this long non-coding RNA (1707 nucleotides) under Aplysia californica (California sea hare). RNAcentral's name for it is "uncharacterized LOC118478811". Lineage: Eukaryota; Metazoa; Mollusca; Gastropoda; Aplysiida; Aplysiidae. The record is from RNAcentral.